AGAGUUUGAUCCUGGCUCAGGACGAACGCUGGCGGCGUGCCUAAUACAUGCAAGUCGAACGAACUCUGGUAUUGAUUGGUGCUUGCAUCAUGAUUUACAUUUGAGUGAGUGGCGAACUGGUGAGUAACACGUGGGAAACCUGCCCAGAAGCGGGGGAUAACACCUGGAAACAGAUGCUAAUACCGCAUAACAACUUGGACCGCAUGGUCCGAGCUUGAAAGAUGGCUUCGGCUAUCACUUUUGGAUGGUCCCGCGGCGUAUUAGCUAGAUGGUGGGGUAACGGCUCACCAUGGCAAUGAUACGUAGCCGACCUGAGAGGGUAAUCGGCCACAUUGGGACUGAGACACGGCCCAAACUCCUACGGGAGGCAGCAGUAGGGAAUCUUCCACAAUGGACGAAAGUCUGAUGGAGCAACGCCGCGUGAGUGAAGAAGGGUUUCGGCUCGUAAAACUCUGUUGUUAAAGAAGAACAUAUCUGAGAGUAACUGUUCAGGUAUUGACGGUAUUUAACCAGAAAGCCACGGCUAACUACGUGCCAGCAGCCGCGGUAAUACGUAGGUGGCAAGCGUUGUCCGGAUUUAUUGGGCGUAAAGCGAGCGCAGGCGGUUUUUUAAGUCUGAUGUGAAAGCCUUCGGCUCAACCGAAGAAGUGCAUCGGAAACUGGGAAACUUGAGUGCAGAAGAGGACAGUGGAACUCCAUGUGUAGCGGUGAAAUGCGUAGAUAUAUGGAAGAACACCAGUGGCGAAGGCGGCUGUCUGGUCUGUAACUGACGCUGAGGCUCGAAAGUAUGGGUAGCAAACAGGAUUAGAUACCCUGGUAGUCCAUACCGUAAACGAUGAAUGCUAAGUGUUGGAGGGUUUCCGCCCUUCAGUGCUGCAGCUAACGCAUUAAGCAUUCCGCCUGGGGAGUACGGCCGCAAGGCUGAAACUCAAAGGAAUUGACGGGGGCCCGCACAAGCGGUGGAGCAUGUGGUUUAAUUCGAAGCUACGCGAAGAACCUUACCAGGUCUUGACAUACUAUGCAAAUCUAAGAGAUUAGACGUUCCCUUCGGGGACAUGGAUACAGGUGGUGCAUGGUUGUCGUCAGCUCGUGUCGUGAGAUGUUGGGUUAAGUCCCGCAACGAGCGCAACCCUUAUUAUCAGUUGCCAGCAUUAAGUUGGGCACUCUGGUGAGACUGCCGGUGACAAACCGGAGGAAGGUGGGGAUGACGUCAAAUCAUCAUGCCCCUUAUGACCUGGGCUACACACGUGCUACAAUGGAUGGUACAACGAGUUGCGAACUCGCGAGAGUAAGCUAAUCUCUUAAAGCCAUUCUCAGUUCGGAUUGUAGGCUGCAACUCGCCUACAUGAAGUCGGAAUCGCUAGUAAUCGCGGAUCAGCAUGCCGCGGUGAAUACGUUCCCGGGCCUUGUACACACCGCCCGUCACACCAUGAGAGUUUGUAACACCCAAAGUCGGUGGGGUAACCUUUUAGGAACCAGCCGCCUAAGGUGGGACAGAUGAUUAGGGUGAAGUCGUAACAAGGUAACC
RNAcentral lists this ribosomal RNA (1528 nucleotides) under Lactiplantibacillus pentosus. Its description in RNAcentral is "Lactobacillus pentosus partial 16S ribosomal RNA". It matches the Rfam family "Bacterial small subunit ribosomal RNA". RNAcentral also lists the same sequence under 4 other names. Lineage: Bacteria; Bacillati; Bacillota; Bacilli; Lactobacillales; Lactobacillaceae. The record is from RNAcentral.